ACGCACGCUGGCGGCGUGCUUAACACAUGCCAGUCGAACGGAAAGGCCUCUUUCGGGGGGUACUCGAGUGGCGAACGGGUGAGUAACACGUGAGUAACCUGCCCUUGACUUUGGGAUAACUUCAGGAAACUGGGGCUAAUACCGGAUAGGAGCUCCUGCUGCAUGGUGGGGGUUGGAAAGUUUCGGCGGUUGGGGAUGGACUCGCGGCUUAUCAGCUUGUUGGUGGGGUAGUGGCUUACCAAGGCUUUGACGGGUAGCCGGCCUGGGAGGGUGACCGGCCACAUUGGGACUGAGAUACGGCCCAGACUCCUACGGGAGGCAGCAGUGGGGAAUAUUGCACAAUGGGUGGAAGCCUGAUGCAGCAACGCCGUGUGCGGGAUGACGGCCUUCGGGUUGUAAACCGCUUUCGCUCAUGACGAAGCUUUGUGUGACGGUAGUGGGUAAAGAAGCACCGGCUAACUACGUG
RNAcentral lists this ribosomal RNA (466 nucleotides) under uncultured bacterium. RNAcentral describes it as "partial 16S ribosomal RNA". It matches the Rfam family "Bacterial small subunit ribosomal RNA", at positions 29 to 507 of the family's 1533-position model. The record is from RNAcentral.